CUACUCACAAAGGGGAGCCAUUUGGCUGAGAUUGAGGUAACUCUAAACCCUUCGUACCUGUUUCGGUUAUGCGAUCGUAGGAAUUGUGACGAGUAGAAGU
Molecule: non-coding RNA, 100 nt
Filed under: Enterococcus columbae
Lineage: Bacteria; Bacillati; Bacillota; Bacilli; Lactobacillales; Enterococcaceae
Also listed under: 1 other name
Description: TPP sequence
Rfam family: TPP riboswitch aptamer (THI element)
About the family: Vitamin B(1) in its active form thiamin pyrophosphate (TPP) is an essential coenzyme that is synthesised by coupling of pyrimidine and thiazole moieties in bacteria. The previously detected thiamin-regulatory element, thi box was extended, resulting in a new, highly conserved RNA secondary structure, the THI element, which is widely distributed in eubacteria and also occurs in some archaea.
Source: RNAcentral